UUUCAGAUACAAAAUGCCAAGUUUUUAACAAGUUUGAAGUAAUCAAAUUCUAUGUAUCUAAUCUAGUAAAUUUUUCGAGUUAAAAUCACUGGUCCCACCAAAAUAUUUGCCAAUCCUCCCAAUCUUACAAUUAAGAUUGUUGAUCCCACACAAUCCUACCAGAUUGCGGUUCUGUCUGUUAUUGGGAUAAUCCAAGUCGUCAAGGAUCUUACUUAUGAGUAAGAUCAUGAGUUUGACUACCUUGCCAAAUAAUUGUAACGUAUAAUUAUAACCCCAGUGUUUCUCAAAAUUAAACUGUUUGUCAUGGUGUGGGGAUUUCUUCAUAUGGUUUAUGGGAUGGUUAGAAAUUUAGACUGAAUCAUAUUUAUAGGAGUAUCUUACGCGGGUGCAAAGCUUGACUUUGUCUCUUUUAGGAGACAUCUUUGUUGGGCAUAAAAUGCAUGGCAACAAAGGAUGCAUUUCGACAUCAUUGUCUUUGUAGUGCAUACUCAAGGAGAUAGUAAGUAAUGGUGAUGGAGUGCAUGCGCACAAGCAUUGGUACUCAUGAGCCAGGCUCGCUUGUAUGUCUCUGGAAGAGAGAAUGCUACUCACGGCUUUUAAAGAGUCAAGGUUGAACUACAUUCUCAACCGGGACUCCUUACUAAGGUGUUACUGAAAACCUUGAUGUAGUAUCCUAGUAUUGAGAGCCAACAAAUCCAUUGAAAUGGUAGUGCCUUAGUUUUGGAGAAUGGACUAUUUCUCUAAUUCUCUAUUGAGUGUGGUACAAAAGGAGUCUGGUGUGAAUGAAGAGCACAAAGUGAUGUUCAUCAAGUGCACUUCUAGAGGGUUGCUGUCUUUGUGGUGGCUUAGCAACAUUUAUCUUGAUAUACUUCACCCAAAACAGAAGUUAUUGUUAGAAUUAUUUUGUUUAUCCCUUUUCAAAGUUGUUUUCUAUUUAAAUAUAACUUAGUGAUGUUGAUGUAAACCAAAAAUCAGAAUACACAAUUGUAACCGCAAGUUCUCAAAUCAUGGGGUUCUAACAGUGGCCCAAUAUGGAUGUAGUGCUCAAUAUAAGAUAUGUAAUUCUAGUUUUAGGUUUCUUGUUAUUUUUUAUUCAUAUCUUCUCUCAUUGCAGAAGAAAGUUGUGCAUUGUAGACUGUUUAGAUGAAACGCAAAUUGAUGUAAAAGAAGAGAAAAGAAACAGUAAUCAGGCCAGAUAAGGAACUGGAAAAAGAAGAAUUGAAACCCUCAAUGUUACUUGUUUUAUAAACCUGUUCUCUACCUGUGUUUCAUAAUGACAUUUGUUAAUGUUUCCAAUGUUUGUGUGGUUGUAGGUGGUCCACAAGCUGCAUGUAUGGGCUGUGCUGGCUUUGCCGCAUUCUCAGUCGUCAUAGAGAAGUUUCUAGAGAGGCAUCAAUAAGUGAAUUAACUUGGAUCAAUUUUGUAUUCUUCGAUCAUAGUUUAAGUUCUUGAUCAAAAUAUUUUGCCCAUACGAUAGAGGGACGUGAUAGGGAGCAAGACAAAUUGCAAUAUUAUUUCACAUCUGUAAUUUAUUUGUAUACAAUGUCAUUGGCGGAUGCAUUCUCCGAACUUGGGAAAGCUCUGUGAUGACAUGGUUUAGUAUUGGAAAAUGCCAAGCAUUACGAAAACCAUAGGGAGCAAUAAUUGUGAUGAACUCUUUAAAGUGCUUAGCACUCCUGUUUAGUGGUAAUAGUUAAUUUCAAUAGAUUUUUCUUUGUAAUUCAUUCUUUUUUUUUGGAAUAUUUAUGGAGUGUUCCUAGGCUUCUUAAAAUCCACCAUUGUUUUCCUUUUUAAAGAGAUAGAAUAUGCUGACAAAUAUAUGCUGAGUUCCGUUAUCUAAUUGUGCUUCUGUAACUACCACAACAAAAAAAAUAUGUUUUUCUAUCUUUAAAAAUGAAACAGUCAUGUUCUUGUGAAAAAAGAGAUAUUCCAAAUUUUGUCCUGAAAUGAUGUCAUACAGUGCAAACGUUACCACGGAAAAGAUAUCCCAACAUGUUUGUAUAGUUAUAUAAAGAUUUUUUCAAUAUAAGCCACACGAUGUAGAUAAUUAAAUUAGCCUAAGCAAUAAUGCAAUAGAAUAUUCACACAAUGGAUUCUUAUAAAACAACAUACACAGAUGAACAUAAAUUCAAACAUGUAACUUACUUUCAAAAUAUUGGAACUAAGCUUUCAACAUAAUCUAUGGCAUCGUCCCAAUAUGCAUUAUCUCUAGUUCUAUUAUCGGUAACAGGUCUACAUACAAUAAUUUAUGUUCGCUUAGUUCUGUUAUCUCUCCUAUUAUAGAGAAUUGUUUCAGAUUCUUCAAUUGAAUGAUACAACAUUUAAACAAACUUUUCAACAAACAGUUGAUAUGCAUGAAAAUAAGUCCCCAUUGGUUUUAGGUAUUUGACAUUGUGGAUUAUUAUUGUAUAUUGAAAACAUAGGAGCAAAAUAAAAGAGUAAUAAAUCAAAGCAAAAGAGAUUUGAACGAAGUUUUAGGGUUACUAACCAGAGGGGAGUCACAGCCGGAGAGAGGCGUAGUGAUUCUGAAUUUGAAGUAGCGCAAUACACAUGGUUUUCAGAUACAAAAUGCCAAGUUUUNAGAGAGAGAGAGAGAGAGAGAGAGAGAGAGAGAGAGAGAGAGAGAGGAAAAAAAUCAUUUGAGUUACUACAAACUAUGAAUACGGUGUUUGAUCACUUGAUUUUAAAAUCUUUGAACAAAAUAGUUAGGAUAACUUUUCGCUCAAUAACUCUCUUCAAUGGUUAUUCUCCCUAUAGAUGAGUAUAACCAUUGAAGGUUUAAGAAUUUCAAUGUAAGUAACAAUUAUAUAAUUAGUUUUAUGCCUAAACCUAAUCAAUAAUUGAACGGUUAAAAUAGGGUAAAUCUCAAAAUUAGGUUCAAAAAUCCUUGUUGAUCUAAAAUUGUAUUAUGGACAAAGUUAAGGUUAAUAAUCAUUAAACACGUAAAAAGCAUUAAGAAUAAGAUUAACCGAAUAAAAUAACUAAGUAAUUGACUAGAAUUCAAAGCAUCUUUUAAAGCUACGUGAACAAAUAAUUAAGAAAAGUUCCUCUUCCAUGACUUAACCUAGCAAGGAUUUAUCUACUAUAUAUAUAUAUAUAUAUAUAUAUAUAUAUAUAUAUAUAUAUAGUAGAUAAAAUAACACACAAAUACAAAUAAAAUAACACAGAAAAGGAUCAUCUGUUGAUGAUUCCUUGGCUCCCGAAUUGUUCCGGUCGCUUCAAUCCUUCGGAAAUCGUGUUUCUACCUUUGUAUGCUCGUCAAAAGGUGUUUUUCCAGUAACCUAUGGGUUCACUUUUUUAUAGGCAUCAAAUUUCCCAAGUUUUAGGGAAAUUGGUUCCCGAUACAAGUAUAUUCCUCGCGAUAUGAGGCAGCCAAUGAGCAUCCCUUUUUGGCAUGUCACUCUAUAUCGCGAUGUGGGGCUCACAACCCGCGAUGCGAGAUAGACAAUAGCGAUCAUCUUGGUUUCCAAUCGUAUUCGCGCGAUACGGGGCUCAUAGCUCGCGAUGCGAGUUAGGCAGAAGUUGAUUCCUUGGUUUCUUUAUUUCUUGCUUCAUUUCUUCUUGCCAAAACGUCGCUAACGAAUAUACCUCAAACUUAAUCAACGAUAAACUUAUAAUUUUAUUUUUAUCCUACUAAGUUAUAAUUUCUAAAUUGGUCCCCCAAACUUGAUUUCGGGCUCCGUUCCUAAAUUGCUGGAUUGCAUGAGCAUGGUCCAUGCCGCAGUAGAACCUCAUCAAGGCCAGUGUUCUUUUUUCCCUUAUAUUAGUAACAAACAAAUAGUGUGAACACAUUGCAUAAAUAGGAUAUGCUUGAUAGUUAAUUCCACCUUCUCAUUCUACACAAAGUAUGAAAAGAACCAAUUGAACUUGAGAUGCCGUUUACGUUCAUUUCCAAUUUCCAUCUAUUUUAUUAUUAAACAGGAAUGGCAACUUCCAAGUGCUUGAAAGUCCAUCACCUAAAAUUGACAAUUGUUAUCAGUCACUUUUUUUAAUAAUAUUUGUGACUCCACACAUGUACCUUUGUAAUAUAUACAAUUUAUAUCAUUUCAAUAUUAAUAGUCUGUGUCGUACACGGGACAUUAGACUGGUAAUAUUAUAUAAUUUAAAUCUUCGUUUUUUAUUUUGAAAUUAAAUCAUCUUUGAAAUUUAUAACUCGCAAAAACUUGUAAAACAUAAGUUUUAUGAUGAUAUAAUUAAAAGUGAUAUAAGAAUUAAAACAUAACCAGUAAAAAUUAAUUUGAUUCAUAUUUUUUUCUUAGGGAUGAUCAAAACUCAUCUUAAAUUGGAUUUCUCGGAAACAUAAUAUUAGAGGUACGAAUAUGUUAAAAAUAGUGUCAAAUAAUGAAUAUACAUCCUUGUACCUAAAUAAUACUCCUAAGUAGAUAUAUGAAAACAUAUACUCCCUCCGUUUUUAAAUAUAAGCAAAAUUGACUUUUUAGAUUCAUUAAAUUAAUGAUGUAUAUAGUCCAUAAUAUAAACCACAUACAUCAUUAAUUAAAUGAACCUAAAAAAUCACUUUUACUUAUAUUUAAAAACGGAUGGAGUAUAGAGUAAUGAAUAUAAUUAACUAAAAAAAUUAUGAGUAUACAUCCUCCAUCAUAAAAGAAUGAAUAUACACCAUAGCUUCGAAUUAAAAUUAAUGCUUGAGAAAAAAUCAAUUUUAAACUUCGUAUAUAAUCUAUAAAAACAAGAUUUCUUAUAUCUAUCCAAACUUUUUCUUAUAUAAAAUCAAACUUUUAUUUUGACAAAAGAAAAAAAUCAAACUUAAGAAUGGGUACUCCCCCUAAUAUACACCCAUCGUUUCGUGAUACACACACUAAAUACUAAUUGAAAAAUAUAUAAUUUUAUAUAUAAAAUUUAUCCUCAUGAGAAAAUUUCAAUUAAAAUAUGUUGCUCCAUAAUAGUUAGACAGUGACGUAAAUACAUUUGAACCAAAUUAAUUUUUUUUAACCAAGGAUGCACGCAACUUAGGAGAUUGAUCCUCACAUAUUUACUUAAGCUAUUAAUCUCUUCUAACAUAUAUGUUUUCAUAUACACAAGUCAGAGAACGAACUUUAUACACACACAAAAAAAAAAUUGUAUAUGUAUGUUGAGAACAAACUCACAACGUCCAAAUUAAUAGCAUAUAAUGACAAAAUGACUACAAAAAAUAUGAUGAAAUCUAAAUCAUCAUAAUAUUCAUGCUUCCGGAUCUGCAACGUUGGCGUCCAAAUCAUUGAUUGAAUCUGUGAUUGACUGAAGCUAAUCUUUCAAUAUGAAUCAAACAAACACUGCAACAAAAUGUGAAAUCAAACAAUGCCGCACAAGACGACGAACAACACAACGCCGCACUCGGACGACGAAAUCACGAAACAAAACACAAAAAAAACACUUGAUAUAUGUGGAAAUCACUUAUUUAGAUUGAAAGAAAAUGGAAAAAAGGAUGCACAGGGUGAUUCUAGGUCAAAAAAUGAUCUAAAACCACCCCUCCUCGACGAGUGAAAGAGAAAUAAAACUUAAAGAAGUUAGAGUUUCUCUCACUAAAAAACUAGGGUCGGCUCGCAAACAAAUUACACUCUUAAAAUAAAUAGAAAUUUUAAAACUGAUCAUUGAAUGUAUAUUUUUUUACAAUCAUAACCCUUUUACUUUUUACAACAAAUUAAACAAAUAAAUUUAAAAUAAUAAUAUCAAGCUAUCAUUGUCUUGUGUAGGGGUGACCCAAUAAGAUUACAUUUUUAAUUAAUCUUGGAAGGCAUGAAACACCAUGCUUUUCUAUUGACCAUUAGAGAUUUCAGAAAGCAACCGUUAUUAUCUCAAAUAACAUUCGAACAAUAAUUGCAUGUUUUUCCAAGCCCAUGCAACAACUAUAAAUAGUUAAAGCUUUCUCUCAUUUUUCCACAAGCAAAACACAAAUCGUUUAUUCCAUUCUAUCUUUCAUUCUCUCAAACUUCUACUAAAAUUACUUCAAUUCAAUCCAAUGGCAUCUUUCCAAUCCUUCAACUUUGAAACUGAAAUUCCACAAGAGCUUCUCAUAUCUCAAAUCAUGCAAAUUCAUACAACCAUUUCUAAGCUAGAAUCUCUUAGGCCUUCAAAACAAGUCAACACCCUUUUGACUCACUUAGUCAAACUUUGCAUCCUCCCUUCAUCCAUUGAGAUUGAAGCCUUGCCACAAGAGGUUAAGACAAUGCGUGAAAGCCUCAUUCCCAUUUGUGGCAAAGCUGAAGGACUUUUGGAGCUUGAAUUCUCAACUUUCAUUAGCCAAACACCAAAUCCAGCAAAAAAUUUAACACUUUUCCCUUACUAUGGAAACUAUGUUAAACUAGCAAACUAUGAAAACAAAAUCCUCAAAGAAAAUGGUGUAGUGGAUGCAAAAAAAGUAGCUUUUAUAGGAUCUGGUCCAAUGCCACUAAGUUCAAUUAUAUUGGCAACUCAUCACAUGGAAUCAACUCACUUUGAUAAUUUUGAUAUCGAUGAGAAAGCUAAUGAGGUUGCUAGCAAGAUCGUGGCUUCGGAUAAAGCACUUGAAAAGAGGAUGAAAUUUGUGACACAAGAUAUAAUGGAAGCUAAGGAGAGGUUAGGGCAAUAUGAUUGCAUUUUUUUGGCAGCACUUGUUGGUAUGCGUAGAAGUGAAAAAGUGAAGAUUUUGGGACAUAUAAGUAAGUAUAUGAAGGAAGGUAGUGUUUUGCUUGUAAGAAGUGCAAAAGGGAGUAGAGCUUUUUUGUAUCCUAUUGUUGAGGAGAAUGAUAUGGUAAAUUUUGAGGUGCUUACAAUUUUUCAUCCAACGGAUGAUGUUAUCAACUCGGUUAUUCUUCUUCGCAAACCUAAAGCUUGAUCAAUAAGCUAAGUUACCAAAUAAGUUGAAUUUCUACUUGAAGAAGAAUCUAUUUAUAGUGUAGAUUCAAAUGUGUGUUGUUCUUUUGAUUGAAAGUGUUUCUUUUCCUAUGAUAUACUUUGUAUAAUUAGUGAGGUUUAGUGUUAUGUUCUAGUGCUUGCCUCAUUCGUCUUACUUUAUAAGAUGAUUGAAGAUUAUGUAUCGUAAUUCCAAAUAAUAAAUGAACAAGCUUUGUGUUUAUUUUUUAAUUGUUUUACUUUUUUUUAGAAAAGAAGGUGCUAAUCCCCAAAGACUACAAUGGAACAAACCUGAGAGAUUUGAUUCAAAGGUUGAUCAAAAACCUUCAUCGAAGUAACUUCACACGUCAUAAGCAUCUGCUACCUUGUUUGCUUGACAAUACAUAUAGCAAAUACUUGAUGGGAUAAAACCACAAGUGCACGGUUCUACUGAAGUAGUAAAAAUAGAGUAUCGUUUCGAUAGGGAGUUGUUCAAUUCAAUUAACUUUAGUUGAUGAUUAGAAAAGGUUAAGUUGCAAAGUUGGGGUUUUCAAACGGUUAAAAGAAAAUAUAAUAAUAAAAAAGAGCCUUGGGAUUAUUGGUUCAUCAUAAUGACAAACCCUUCACAAACCAAAACCUUAAACCUAUAACUUUAUGUUAGACCUACUUUCUAAUGACAAAUUUCUCUUUAGUCUAUCACAUCUCCUUUCGGUCUCGGUGAGUGUGUUUCUCUAGCAACCACGACUAUUUUCAUGGUUGAUUGCUAUUGAAAUCCUUCAAGCUCGAAACUUUAUUGUCUCAAGGUUUGCUAGACUAUUUUAAUGUUUUGCAAUCCUUAUCUAUAUUCACUUGUUCCAAUAUUAAAACUUCAUCUUUCGAUCAUUCGCUUAAUAUUUGUGAUAAAUCAAUAACAACUAUUAAACUUCAUCUUUCAAUCCUUCGAUUAAUACUUGUUAUUGAUUAUAAGAACGGUGAAAUAGAUUAGAAAUCAAGGUUACAUAAAAUUAGGGAUUAAAGCUUGGUUUGAUUAGGAUUAUGUCAUUAGACUUAUCCAACAAUCUCAAGACAAGAAGAGUCUACUCACUCAUGUUCAUCGUAGACAUUGAGAAGAAGAAGAAGAAAAGCAUAAAGUAAAUAACAAAGAAAUAAAGAAAUAACUUUUAUUAAGAAAGACAAUUGUCACUGAUUGAAUUCCAAGAACAAAAAAUGAAUUGUUGUGAUAGCUCGCUACUCUAUUUAGUCUUAUGUCGACUUAAAACCUAAGGAACUAUUCACUAGAAUGUUCAACAAGAAACCACAGACUUUUAGGUCAAAAUAGGUAGCUUGUUUCCGAAGCAAAAGCAGCAAAAGAGCACCCUGAAGCUUGGCACGGGCCGUGCUGCUGGUGGCACGGGCCGUGCCUCCUCGCUGACCUGGGGAGUGACAUAUUUUUGUCCCAUAUUUCAUAUUUUCAUCCUGAAUCAACUUCUAAUCCUCUUUCUUUUGCUCUAAGACUCAAUCUAUCAAACAUUCGUUCCUGAAAUAUAAUAAUUUGCAAUUGAAGUAAAAUAGUUCUAAAAGGAAAUAAUAUUUAAAUAAAAUAAACUUAAAUCUAAGUAAAACGGAAUCAAAUAUUAUAUUAAAACUACUAAUUAUUGACUCAUCAAUACUCAUCCUCAAAUAUCUUUAAGGAAACAUUUUGAUUUCUUUGAAUCAAAUUAAAACCAAAUCCACCGCUAUUUUAUCCUGUUCAAGGUAUUAACACCCGCUUGAGGGUCAAUUCGAAGCUCAAUCAUCCAGAAACCCUGCACUUUGUGUAAUUUAAGUGUUAAUAGAAAGGAUGUCUUAAUGCCACAUAAAUGACAAUUUAUAAAUGUAAAUAAAGGACAAAAGGCAUAGAACUUGCAAAAGAAAUAAUAAUUUCAAAACAUGAAUAAAAAGAGGAACCAAAUUAUAUACUAAAAAUUAGUAGCAUGCUGAGCAAGUUUGUCAAAUAUAUAUAAUAUUUUAUAUAUAGAUUUUUUCAAUAUAAGCCAGACGAUGUAGAUAAUUAAAUUAGCCUAAGCAAUAAUGCAAUAGAAUAUUCACACAAUGGAUUCUUAUAAAACAACAUACACAGAUGAACAUAAAUUCAAACAUGUAACUUACUUUCAAAAUAUUGGAACUAAGCUUUCAACAUAAUCUAUGACAUCGUCCCAAUAUGCAUUAUCUCUAGUUCUAUUAUCGGUAACAGGUCUACAUACAAUAAUUUAUGUUCGCUUAGUUCUGUUAUCUCUCCUAUUAUAGAGAAUUGUUUCAGAUUCUUCAAUUGAAUGAUACAACAUUUAAACAAACUUUUCAACAAACAGUUGAUAUGCAUGAAAAUAAGUCCCCAUUGGUUUUAGGUAUUUGACAUUGUGGAUUAUUAUUGUAUAUUGAAAACAUAGGAGCAAAAUAAAAGAGUAAUAAAUCAAAGCAAAAGAGAUUUGAACGAAGUUUUAGGGUUACUAACCAGAGGGGAGUCACAGCCGGAGAGAGGCGUAGUGAUUCUGAAUUUGAAGUAGCGCAAUACACAUGGUUUUCAGAUACAAAAUGCCAAGUUUUUAACAAGUUUGAAGUAAUCAAAUUCUAUGUAUCUAAUCUAGUAAAUUUUUCGAGUUAAAAUCACUGGUCCCACCAAAAUAUUUGCCAAUCCUCCCAAUCUUACAAUUAAGAUUGUUGAUCCCACACAAUCCUACCAGAUUGCGGUUCUGUCUGUUAUUGGGAUAAUCCAAGUCGUCAAGGAUCUUACUUAUGAGUAAGAUCAUGAGUUUGACUACCUUGCCAAAUAAUUGUAACGUAUAAUUAUAACCCCAAUGUUUCUCAAAAUUAAAGUGUUUGUCAUGGUGUGGGGAUUUCUUCAUAUGGUUUUUGGGAUGGUUAGAAAUUUAGACUGAAUAAUAUUUAUAGGAGUAUCUUAGGCGGGUGCAAAGCUUGAUUUUGUCUCUUUUAGGAGACAUCUUUGUUGGGCAUAAAAUGCAUGGCAACAAAGGAUGCAUUUCGACAUCAUUGUCUUUGUAGUGCAUACUCAAGGAGAUAGUAAGUAAUGGUGAUGGAGUGCAUGCACACAAGCAUUGGUACUCAUGAGCCAGGCUCGCUUGUAUGCCUCUGGAAGAGAGAAUGCUACUCACGGCUUUUAAAGAGUCAACGUUGAACUGCAUUCUCAACAGGGACUCCUUACUAAGGUGUUACUGAAAACCUUGAUGUAGUAUCCUAGUAUUGAGAGCCAACAAAUCCAUUGAAAUGGUAGUGCCUUAGUUUUGGAGAAUGGACUAUUUCUCUAAUUCUCUAUUGAGUGUGGUACAAAGGGAGUCUGGUGUGAAUGAAGAGCACAAAGUGAUGUUCAUCAAGUGCACUUCUAGAGGGUUGCUGUCUUUGUGGUGGCUUAGCAACAUUUAUCUUGAUAUACUUCACCCAAAACAGAAGUUAUUGUUAGAAUUAUUUUGUUUAUCCCUUUUCAAAGUUGUUUUCUAUUUAAAUAUAACUUAGUGAUGUUGAUGUAAACCAAAAAUCAGAAUAGACAAUUGUAACCGCAAGUUCUCAAAUCAUGGGGUUCUGACAGUGGCCCAAUAUGGAUGUAGUGCUCAAUAUAAGAUAUGUAAUUUUAGUUUUAGGUUUCUUGUUAUUUUUUAUUCAUAUCUUCUCUCAUUGCAGAAGAAAGUUGUGCAUUGUAGGCUGUUUAGAUGAAACGCAAAUUGAUGUAAAAGAAGAGAAAAGAAACAGUAAUCAGGCCAGAUAAGGAACUGGAAAAUGAAGAAUUGAAACCCUCAAUGUUGCUUGUUUUAUAAACCUGUUCUCUACCUGUGUUUCGUAAUGACAUUUGUUAAUGUUUCCAAUGUUUGUGUGGUUGUAGGUGGUCCACAAGCUGCAUGUAUGGGCUGUGCUGGCUUUGCCGCAUUCUCAGUCGUCAUAGAGAAGUUUCUAGAGAGGCAUCAAUAAGUGAAUUAACUUGGAUCAAUUUUGUAUUCUUCGAUCAUAGUUUAAGUUCUUGAUCAAAAUAUUUUGCCCAUACGAUAGAGGGACGUGAUAGGGAGCAAGACAAAUUGCAAUAUUAUUUCACAUCUGUAAUUUAUUUGUAUACAAUGUCAUUGGCGGAUGCAUUCUCCGAACUUGGGAAAGCUCUGUGAUGACAUGGUUUAGUAUUGGAAAAUGCCAAGCAUUACGAAAACCAUAGGGAGCAAUAAUUGUGAUGAACUCUUUAAAGUGCUUAGCACUCCUGUUUAGUGGUAAUAGUUAAUUUCAAUAGAUUUUUCUUUGUAAUUCAUUCUUUUUU
RNAcentral lists this long non-coding RNA (11077 nucleotides) under Medicago truncatula (barrel medic). RNAcentral's name for it is "long non-coding RNA (MTRU_LNC008658)". Lineage: Eukaryota; Viridiplantae; Streptophyta; Magnoliopsida; Fabales; Fabaceae. The record is from RNAcentral.